UAAGGAAUAUUGGUCAAUGGGCGGAAGCCUGAACCAGCCAUGCCGCGUGCAGGAAGACGGCCCUACGGGUUGUAAACUGCUUUUGUACCGGAAUAAACCCCCGUAUGUAUACGGGGUUGAAUGUACGGUAAGAAUAAGGAUCGGCUAACUCCGUGCCAGCAGCCGCGGUAAUACGGAGGAUCCAAGCGUUAUCCGGAUUUAUUGGGUUUAAAGGGUGCGUAGGCGGCCUAUUAAGUCAGGGGUGAAAGACGGUAGCUUAACUAUCGCAGUGCCUUUGAUACUGAUGGGCUUGAAUGUACUUGAGGUAGGCGGAAUGUGACAAGUAGCGGUGAAAUGCAUAGAUAUGUCACAGAACACCAAUUGCGAAGGCAGCUUACUAAAGUAUGAUUGACGCUGAGGCACGAAAGCGUGGGGAUCAAACAGGAUUAGAUACCCGUGUAGUCC
RNAcentral lists this ribosomal RNA (444 nucleotides) under uncultured bacterium. RNAcentral describes it as "bacterial SSU rRNA". It matches the Rfam family "Bacterial small subunit ribosomal RNA", at positions 355 to 796 of the family's 1533-position model. The record is from RNAcentral.